This 912-nucleotide long non-coding RNA is filed under the name Capra hircus (goat). Its description in RNAcentral is "lncRNA (ENSCHIG00000007417.1)". The record is from RNAcentral. Lineage: Eukaryota; Metazoa; Chordata; Mammalia; Artiodactyla; Bovidae.
CAUGGGUUGGUCAGUUUCUCUUUCUCUCUCUCUCUCUUUACAAUUAACGUGUUGAAGAAACCAAGUCAGUUGUCCUAGGUAAAGUUUCUCACAUGUUGGAUUUUGCUGAUUAAAUCCUUGUGUGGUUAUUGAACCUAGUUUUCUGUGGCCUAUAUUUAUACAAGCUAGUUAUUAGAUCUUUCUAGACAUUUUAAAGAUCUAGAGAAAUGUAUGAAAAAUUACCUGCAUUAUCCCAUGUAAGUGUCAGUAAAACUGAGACCUUCCCUCUUGCAAUUAUUAUUUAAGUCUAAUAAAUGCUGAUUGAGUCUUUUCUAUGCUGAGGUUCUCUGACACAUGACCUAGGCGUUCUGCAAAUCAAUAAAAUUCAAGUUCUGUCUUUAAGUGCUUACAAUCAUUCCCUGUUAUACAGCAGCAAAGCUGGCCAGAUUGCUCAAGACUCCCUGGGACUGUUUCCUCUGUAACAUCCUGACCCUAACGUAGGCAGACAGAGCAGCUCUCUGGUGGGAAAUAGCUUUUCCUAAGACAUGAAAGCCAUCAGUGUUUAUCAUCUCUUCGGGCAUCAGGAACGGAGUGUGACUAAUGAAAUGGCACAGCUGGUCCUACAGAUGCUGAGCAGAACAGAUUGCCACUUCACUGAUUCUUCCCUUUGUAAUGCUUCCCAUAAAUCUAACUUCCCUUUGAAAAUGAUUUGCUUUCCUGGAUUCCCUUACCUCACCAUUGUAAAGACCUUGAUUAAUUUGAAUUAAAAUACUCAAUACAAAAUGAUUAAUUUGUUUAGCAAUUACAGGUUUUAAUAUCCUGUAGUAUGAUAUAGUUCAAUCUUUCUAAGUUUUGCUACUGACUUCUGUCUCAAAAGGAGAUUUGAAAGUGUGAAAGCUUGAGUUCUUGUGACUCUGAGAAUUUUUAUAUUGG